AAAGACUCAAUUCCUAGGUUUUCGUGUCCUACGUUUGACUAUCCGUCUUAUAUGAAACUUUUUUAUGAUUAGUAUUUUCAUUGUUGUUAAAUGAUAAAACAUAAAUAGUACUUUAUACAUGAUUUAUCUUUUUAAAUUUUUUCAUAAUUUUUUCAAAUAAGACGGACGGUCAAAUGUUGGACACGGAAACUCAGGAAUUGAGUUAUU
RNAcentral lists this microRNA precursor (207 nucleotides) under Oryza glumipatula. Its description in RNAcentral is "MIR812 microRNA precursor family". It matches the Rfam family "MIR812 microRNA precursor family". The record is from Rfam by way of RNAcentral. Lineage: Eukaryota; Viridiplantae; Streptophyta; Magnoliopsida; Poales; Poaceae.